GUCUACAACUAUGCUACCCUGAACAAGCCAGAUACUGUCUGAUCUUGGAAGCUUAGCAGAGUCGGGCCUGGUUAGUACUUGGAUGGGAGACCACCUAGGAAGACCAGGUGCUGUAGGCA
Molecule: ribosomal RNA, 119 nt
Filed under: Pteropus alecto (black flying fox)
Lineage: Eukaryota; Metazoa; Chordata; Mammalia; Chiroptera; Pteropodidae
Source: RNAcentral